Molecule: long non-coding RNA, 2716 nt
Organism: Drosophila yakuba
Lineage: Eukaryota; Metazoa; Arthropoda; Insecta; Diptera; Drosophilidae
Exons: 3
Source: RefSeq, a predicted model, not a curated record
UACAGGAUACAUAAUAAAUAAGACAUAAUACAUAAUAAUAGAUAAAACCAAAACAUAAUAAAUAAUCAUCAUAAACAAGUUCAAAUUCAAACAAGGCGCGCACGCGCGCCCAAAUAACUAGAGGGGCACACUAACCCCGAAACCCGGCCACACUAAGUCGGGCAAUUCGGAUAUACGGACAUACGGGCACACUAAGCCAAGGGCUAUAUAAAGCGGGCGGCUGGCCUCAGAAUGAUCAGUCGGUGGUCGGAGUCGACCGAGGUGGAAGUCACCAGCGAGUGGGAAAGCAGCAAGAUCAGGACCGGGAUCAACAAGUGGAUACAUAAUAAAUAAGACAUAAUACAUAAUAAUAGAUAAAACCAAAACAUAAUAAAUAAUCAUCAUAAACAAGUUCAAAUUCAAACAAGGCGCGCACGCGCGCCCAAAUAACUAGAGGGGCACACUAACCCCGAAACCCGGCCACACUAAGUCGGGCAAUUCGGACAUACGGACAUACGGGCACACUAAGCCAAGGGCUAUAUAAAGCGGGCGGCUGGCCUCAGAAUGAUCAGUCGGUGGUCGGAGUCGACCGAGGUGGAAGUCACCAGCGAGCGGGAAAGCAGCAAGAUCAGGACCGGGAUCAACAAGUGGAUACAUAAUAAAUAAGACAUAAUAAAUAAUCAUCAUAAACAAGUUCAAAUUCAAACAAGGCGCGCACGCGCGCCCAAAUAACUAGAGGGGCACACUAACCCCGAAACCCGGCCACACUAAGUCGGGCAAUUCGGAUAUACGGACAUACGGGCACACUAAGCCAAGGGCUAUAUAAAGCGGGCGGCUGGCCUCAGAAUGAUCAGUCGGUGGUCGGAGUCGACCGAGGUGGAAGUCACCAGCGAGCGGGAAAGCAGCAAGAUCAGGACCGGGAUCAACAAGUGGUAACUAUUGGAGAGAAUUAUAUACAUCUGACAUGUAUUGUGCAGAAUGGUUUACUUUACGUUGUGACGCGGCCGCGCACAAUAAUAAAUAAUUCAUAAUAAAUAAUACCUAAUACAGGAUACAUAAUAAAUAAGACAUAAUACAUAAUAAUAGAUAAAACCAAAACAUAAUAAAUAAUCAUCAUAAACAAGUUCAAAUUCAAACAAGGCGCGCACGCGCGCCCAAAUAACUAGAGGGGCACACUAACCCCGAAACCCGGCCACACUAAGUCGGGCAAUUCGGACAUACGGACAUACGGGCACACUAAGCCAAGGGCUAUAUAAAGCGGGCGGCUGGCCUCAGAAUGAUCAGUCGGUGGUCGGAGUCGACCGAGGUGGAAGUCACCAGCGAACGGGAAAGCAGCAAGAUCAGGACCGGGAUCAACAAGUGGUAACUAUUGGAGAGAAUUAUAUCCAUCUGACAUGUAUUGUGCAGAAUGGUUUACUUUACGUUGUGACGCGGCCGCGCACAAUAAUAAAUAAUUCAUAAUAAAUAAUACCUAAUACAGGAUACAUAAUAAAAAAGACAUAAUACAUAAUAAUAGAUAAAACCAAAACAUAAUAAAUAAUCAUCAUAAACAAGUUCAAAUUCAAACAAGGCGCGCACGCGCGCCCAAAUAACUAGAGGGGCACACUAACCCCGAAACCCGGCCACACUAAGUCGGGCAAUUCGGACAUACGGAUAUACGGGCACACUAAGCCAAGGGCUAUAUAAAGCGGGCGGCUGGCCUCAGAAUGAUCAGUCGGUGGUCGGAGUCGACCGAGGUGGAAGUCACCAGCGAGCGGGAAAGCAGCAAGAUCAGGACCGGGAUCAACAAGUGGUAACUAUUGGAGAGUAAACUCAACCCCUACGUAUAUACCCCGCCCUAGCUGACUUCAGGGUCCUGCUUACGUAUCUACGCUGACUUCAGGGUCCUGCUUACGUCUAUACGUUGACUUUAGGGUCCUACUUACGUAUCUACGCUGACUUCAGGGUCCUGCUUACGUCUAUACGUUGACUUCAGGGUCCAACUUACGUAUCUACGCUGACUUCAGGGUCCUGCUUAUGUCUAUACGUUGACUUCAGGGUCCAACUUACGUAUCUACGCUGACUUCAGGGUCCUGCUUACGUCUAUACGUUGACUUCAGGGUCCAACUUACGUAUCUACGCUGACUUCAGGGUCCUGCUUACGUCUAUACUUUGACUUCAGAGUCCUACUUACGUAUCUACGCUGACUUCAGGGUCCUGCUUACGUCUAUACGUUGACUUCAGGGUCCAACUUACGUAUCUACGCUGACUUCAGGGUCCUGCUUAUGUCUAUACGUUGACUUCAGGGUCCAACUUACGUAUCUACGCUGACUUCAGGGUCCUGCUUACGUCUAUACGUUGACUUUAGGGUCCUACUUACGUAUCUACGCUGACUUCAGGGUCCUGCUUACGUCUAUACGUUGACUUCAGGGUCCAACUUACGUAUCUACGCUGACUUCAGGGUCCUGCUUACGUCUAUACGUUGACUUUAGGGUCCUACUUACGUAUCUACGCUGACUUCAGGGUCCUGCUUACGUCUAUACGUUGACUUCAGGGUCCAACUUACGUAUCUACGCUGACUUCAGGGUCCUGCUUACGUCUAUACGUUGACUUCAGGGUCCUGUAUAAGGUACGAAGAGCCCCGCUGUGGAAGCCGGAAACUAGGCCGAGGGAGCCCCAUACAGUUCUAUGUAAUUAUUGUAACCGAAAAAAGGAAUGAAUAAACUCUGCGUCUAUAUUUAAGUCUAGUUAAGGUUAA